UCGAUUCUGGAAAAGCGUCAGGUUGGGUUUUAAGACUCUCAAAGAAGCUAUUGAAGGUGCGGUUAUUAUGCUCUCAUUUAUAUGUAUAUGCACCAAUUCUGGGUACUACUAUUGGUUCAUCUAUUCUUGGGCUUUGAAUGUAUUUAUAGGUGGGCAAAAAGUAAUCUUUCAUCUCUUCUCGGGCUUCCAUUGUAAUAUUUCAUCUAAUUAAAUUUCAGUUUUAAAUCUUCACUUUAUGAUCUAAUUUGGUAGUUUGUUCUUGAACCCAUUGGAAUAAAUCCAACCUCUAUUGGUUCAUUUUCAACUAUUUCUUUGGCUUCAGAAGAAGUGAUUAAUUAAUGCACAUUUUCAUUGUGCUUUUUACUUGGAAUUUUUAAUGCCUGAUUUACCAUCAUUAGUGUAUGUGCAUUGCAUAAUUUUCUGUAUCAUACUUCACAUUCGGUUUUGAAAUAUGGCUUCCCAUUAAAUUAUUUGCUUUUAGGUAGUAAAUAAGAUUCUGCAUUUCAAUUUCUGUAUGGCUCCAGUUGAGGUGUAGAGAUUUAGCAAGCAUAGGUUGAGUUGUCAUUUAGUCAAGUUAUGCUCUAUAAUCAGAUUAUUGUAUACAUGAUUAAAUCAAGGCACUUUAAAAUUGACUAAUAAUAUAGUUUUGUUCAGUGAAUGUUCAAUUGA
Molecule: unclassified non-coding RNA, 669 nt
Filed under: Hevea brasiliensis (rubber tree)
Lineage: Eukaryota; Viridiplantae; Streptophyta; Magnoliopsida; Malpighiales; Euphorbiaceae
Source: RNAcentral